Molecule: long non-coding RNA, 874 nt
Filed under: Ananas comosus (pineapple)
Lineage: Eukaryota; Viridiplantae; Streptophyta; Magnoliopsida; Poales; Bromeliaceae
Description: long non-coding RNA (ACOM_LNC006556)
Source: RNAcentral
UAUAUACAUAUAGAAAGAGAGAGAGAGAUAUGAGUAUAGAGCCCUUCGUACUCAUAAGUUGUUUUGAUGUUGGGAUUUUCAAAUGGACGAUCCACACUGUUAUCUAUGAUCUAAAGUAUUUGAAACUUUUAGAAAAUAAAUUUCGUAAUUUUUCAAAAUCAUUAUAAAGUCCAUCAAGUGGGUAUAAAAUGAAAAGUCAAAAUCAAACGUCAUCCUAAAAAUGGGUGAUCAGAUCCUUUAAUUUAAGAUCGGAGUUAUUGAUUUUUAUCUAGGUAGUGAAUAGAAUUUUCUAUCAAAAAUUCAACCUAUUCCGAUUCUUUUACACCGUUAAAUUAGCAAGUAUCUCAUACCGGCCGUUAAAAAUUUUUAAUUUUGCAAGCUUUUGAUUGUAAGGUAAAUGACAUCAAAAAAUUAUAAAUUUUGAUUUCUAAAAGUUUUAAAUAUUCUAGAUAAUAUUUAACGGUAUGGAUCGUCGAUUCGGAAGCUCUAUCAUCGAAAAUAACUUAUGAGUACAAAUGCGAUCGUACUCAUAAGAGUAUAGUAGCCGGACUCUCUCUCUCUCUCUCUCUCUCUCUAUAUAUAUAUAUAUAUAGUUCGGCUGAGAUACUAUCGAUAGCACCAAGAGCUUGGUGCUAUCGAGUUUAAUUUUACAUCGUUAAAUUUAAUUCUUUAAUUAUUUUUAACCGUUAGAUUAUACUAUUCAACCAACCACCCACUCAACCCUAAGGCAUCAUGUCAUCCUAAUCGCACAUUUCUCAAUCCAAAGGCUAAAAAAUUAAUAGUAACAAUAGCUUAAUGCUAUUAAUAGUAUUCCAGUCUAGUUCUAUCUAUGUGUGUGUGGGCGCGCGCGCAUACAUAACACUAUAGUGCGAGU